RNAcentral lists this ribosomal RNA (510 nucleotides) under uncultured bacterium. Its description in RNAcentral is "partial 16S ribosomal RNA". It matches the Rfam family "Bacterial small subunit ribosomal RNA", at positions 28 to 507 of the family's 1533-position model. The record is from RNAcentral.
GACGAACGCUGGCGGCGUGCUUAACACAUGCAAGUCGAACGAGGAGCGAUGGAAGCUUGCUUCUAUCAAUCUUAGUGGCGAACGGGUGAGUAACGCGUAAUCAACCUGCCCUUCAGAGGGGGACAACAGUUGGAAACGACUGCUAAUACCGCAUACGAUCUAACCUCGGCAUCGAGGAUAGAUGAAAGGUGGCCUCUACAUGUAAGCUAUCACUGAAGGAGGGGAUUGCGUCUGAUUAGCUAGUUGGAGGGGUAACGGCCCACCAAGGCGAUGAUCAGUAGCCGGUCUGAGAGGAUGAACGGCCACAUUGGGACUGAGACACGGCCCAGACUCCUACGGGAGGCAGCAGUGGGGAAUCUUCCGCAAUGGACGAAAGUCUGACGGAGCAACGCCGCGUGAGUGAUGACGGCCUUCGGGUUGUAAAGCUCUGUUAAUCGGGACGAAAGGCCUUCUUGCGAAUAGUUAGAAGGAUUGACGGUACCGGAAUAGAAAGCCACGGCUAACUACGUG